Molecule: non-coding RNA, 298 nt
Organism: Pan troglodytes (chimpanzee)
Lineage: Eukaryota; Metazoa; Chordata; Mammalia; Primates; Hominidae
Source: Rfam
ACUAGGUUCCAUGGCACACUAUUGUAGCCCCAGCUACUUAGGAGGCUGAGGUGGGAGGAUCACUUGAGCCCAGAAGUUCUGGGCUGUAGUGCACUAUGUCAAUCAGGUGUCUGCACCAAAUUUAGCAUCAAUGGUGACCUCCCAGGAGCAGGGAUCCACCAGGAUGCCUAAGGAGGGGAGAACUGACCCAGGCUGGAAACAGGCAAGUCAAAACUCCUGUGCUGAUCAGUAGUGGGAUCAAGACUGUGAAUAGCUACUAUGCUUCAGCCUGGGCAACACAGCAAGACUUCUAUCUCUU